UACGGAAGGCAGCAGUGGGGAAUAUUGCACAAUGGGCGCAAGCCUGAUGCAGCCAUGCCGCGUGUAUGAAGAAGGCCUUCGGGUUGUAAAGUGCUUUCAGUCGUGAGGAAGGUGUUAAGGUUAAUAACCUUAGCAAUUGACGUUAGCGACAGAAGAAGCACCGGCUAACUCCGUGCCAGCAGCCGCGGUAAUACGGAGGGUGCGAGCGUUAAUCGGAAUUACUGGGCGUAAAGGGCACGCAGGCGGUUAAUUAAGUUGGAUGUGAAAUCCCCGGGCUUAACCUGGGAAUGGCAUUCAAGACUGGUUAGCUAGAGUCUUGUAGAGGGGGUAGAAUUCCAUGUGUAGCGGUGAAAUGCGUAGAGAUGUGGAGGAAUACCGGUGGCGAAGGCGGCCCCUGGACAAAGACUGACGCUCAUGUGCGAAAGCGUGGGGAGCAAACAGGAUUAGAUACC
RNAcentral lists this ribosomal RNA (452 nucleotides) under uncultured bacterium. RNAcentral's name for it is "bacterial SSU rRNA". It matches the Rfam family "Bacterial small subunit ribosomal RNA", at positions 340 to 786 of the family's 1533-position model. The record is from RNAcentral.